GAUGAACGCUAGCGGCAGGCUUAACACAUGCAAGUCGAGGGGUAUGCCGAUUUAUCGGCAGAGACCGGCGCACGGGUGCGUAACGCGUAUGCAAUCUACCUUUCACAGAGGGAUAGCCCAGAGAAAUUUGGAUUAAUACCUCAUAGUAUAGCAGUUUCGCAUGAAACCACUAUUAAAGUUCCAACGGUGAAAGAUGAGCAUGCGUCCCAUUAGCUAGAUGGUAAGGUAACGGCUUACCAUGGCUACGAUGGGUAGGGGUCCUGAGAGGGAGAUCCCCCACACUGGUACUGAGACACGGACCAGACUCCUACGGGAGGCAGCAGUGAGGAAUAUUGGACAAUGGCGCAAGCCUGAUCCAGCCAUGCCGCGUGCA
This 373-nucleotide ribosomal RNA is filed under the name uncultured bacterium. RNAcentral's name for it is "bacterial SSU rRNA". It matches the Rfam family "Bacterial small subunit ribosomal RNA", at positions 28 to 405 of the family's 1533-position model. The record is from RNAcentral.